UACGGAGGGUGCAAGCGUUGCUCGGAUUUAUUGGGCGUAAAGCGCGUGUAGGCGGUUUCUUAAGUCUGAUGUGAAAGCCCUGGGCUCAACCCAGGAAGUGCAUUGGAUACUGGGAGACUUGAAUACGGGAGAGGGUAGUGGAAUUCCUAGUGUAGGAGUGAAAUACGUAGAGAUUGGGAAGAACACCAGUGGCGAAGGCGGCUAUCUGGACGGUUUCUGACGCUAAGACGCGAAAGCGUGGGGAGCAAACAGG
RNAcentral lists this ribosomal RNA (253 nucleotides) under uncultured bacterium. Its description in RNAcentral is "partial 16S ribosomal RNA". It matches the Rfam family "Bacterial small subunit ribosomal RNA", at positions 524 to 776 of the family's 1533-position model. The record is from RNAcentral.